RNAcentral lists this long non-coding RNA (2668 nucleotides) under Sus scrofa (pig). Its description in RNAcentral is "lncRNA (ENSSSCG00050056852.1)". The record is from RNAcentral. Lineage: Eukaryota; Metazoa; Chordata; Mammalia; Artiodactyla; Suidae.
CCCUCAGUGUGCGUCCCCACCUCUGGAGGCCUUGGCAUAGCCCCCACCAUUGCCAGCUGCCGCAGAAGGGCCGAUGCCCCCGCUGGUGCCACGUGCGGGGGCCCCAGGAGCGUGCACGGCGCUGAGAAGCCAGGGAGCCACGGAUUCUUUUUCUGACGAUUCAUCAAGGACGUGUUUCUGGGUCAGCGUGUCUGGGUGGAACCUUCACUUUCAGUAUCAGCUGCUGAGUGUCCCCUGGGUCCACGAGCCAGGACCCAGGCAGCCGGCAGCACCGCUGUGACCGUCCUUGUCCUCGUAGCCUCACGGUGGUCACGUGAUCACGUCUGUCGCUCGAUUGUGAGUCGGGGGCCGCUGAGCCGCAGAGCGCAUCGACUUAAGCAUGAAAUAGGUGCCUGCGAAAAGGCCGUGUCGCGCUGCAGUCACACCGGCUCCGUGUGCAUCCCUUGCCGUGGGCGUCAUUCGACGUCAGGAAGUUUUGCCAGUCUGGCAGGUGGGCUUCUGCCCCGAGUGCCGUGUAAGGGCUUGUGAGUGAGGUCGACUGUCCUGCGGGCUCGUCAGGCACUUGGGUUUCUCGCGUGAUGUCCAGAGUGCGUGCUUAGCCUGCCGUUGCUUGUCCUCUUACGGUUUGGGAGACCCUGUGUGUGUUAAAGGAACGGGGCUCCCCAUGGGGUGCCCUUGGCAAAUCUCUCCCGGUGUCUUGGUUUUGACGUCUUCGCUGCACUCGCGCGUCCUCGUGUUUCCUGUGGUUGAAUCUCAUUGCUCCUUUGUGGCUUCUGGGUUUCAGGUUUUAGGAGCACGUUCUCUGUCUUCAUCCAAGGAAAGCAGUUGCUGCAUCUUCUUCUGAUAUUGUCACUGAUUGGACCUCCUCGUUCAGGCGUCCGGCCACGUGGCGUUUACGAGGUGGCAGGAGGCAGUGGGGCGGAGUCCCCCCCGUGCCUUUUGUUAAAUACUCUGUCUUCCCCUGGCAGCUCAAGUGCCACUUGGAUAACAGGACACAUUUACACACGUGUGUGCAUGUUUCUGGCCUGCUGCCCUGGGGCUGCUCGAUUCCAGCCUAGUUUCAGCAACUGGGGAGGCUCCUCUUACUGAAAGAUUCUUGCAGCUUCUCACGGGGUCUUUUUACAGCAGUUAAUACAGUGGGUUCCCUCGCUCUGUGUCCUGGUGGGGCUUUGACACACGCCAGUCGGAUUCAAACGGCCAGUAUUCGGCUGCGACCCCUGCGCCCCGUGACAGCUGCGUCGGAUUCAUGCGUGAGGCUUGUCACUCGCUUGCCUUUAUCUUGUCAGAGGUGAGCUCCCGAUUCGGCAGCGUCAGGGGACAGACGGGUGCUUUCCCACCGCCCACACCCUGGAGCCGUUGGCUCCUGGGGGUCCCUGGCGUUCACUUCCCCGGCGCCCCCUCAGAGGGGCUGGGGGCCCUGCCGCGCUGGCCCCGGGGAGCUGCGGGAUGCUGGUGCCCUGAGCCCCUCCCUCAGCCCCUGCCUGGCCUGACCGUCUCUGAGCACCCGGGCUUCUUCUCCCCACUUGCCUGGGCGCAGCCCAGUCAGGGGUCUCCCUUACACUCUGGACCCCUGGGGAAGCAGAGUGGCAAGCUGUAAGACACAGAGCCCCCAGCUCUGCGCAGGAUCCCCCGGAAGUGCCUGGAGGGGAGAGGCCUCCUUGCUGUGUGAUUUGGGCUAAGUUCUGCUUCUCCUCUGAGCCUCUUUCUGUAUCUGUGAGCUGGGGACACACUCGGCUCGCAGGGGGGUGUCUCUCCCACUCCUCCAGCCCCCCGCCUGGGUGCUCCUGUCACCUCUGCCCUCCUGGGGUCCCAGGGACAGCUGCCAGCACAGCCAGCUCUGCACACGGCAGGUGUUGACUGGUGGGGAAGAGCUGGGCCUGGCAGGACCCCAGGGUGCCCCCACUCCUCAUGCUCUGUAGGAGAGACCUUUAUGCGGGACGUUUCCAGGCAUCUCCCACCUUCUCCCCAUGUUAAGGGCCUCAGGUAGCCUGGGGGGGAACCCCCCCCCCCGAGGUGGGUAAGGAAGCAAGUGGGUGUGAGCAGCCCCCUCUUUCCUUCGAGCUUCCUGGGCUGCGUGGGGCUCGGGGCUGCAGUUCUGAAACCCAGCAGAACGCCUUCAGAGGAGGGUUCUAGAAGUCCCGCUGUCACUUGUUUCAGGAAUCUGCCCACCACGGCCCACGAGAAGCCACUGGUGCCCACCAUGGAUCAGAGGGGGAGCUGCGGGUUUUGUGUGCUUGUUUAUUUACUGCACUACUUUGGGGGCCAAGGGCUAGGCCCUAGGCCUGGGGGACAGAGCCGGGGGAGGGGGUGGAUGGACCAGUCGCCCUGGGUCCUGCCCCCGGGGAGGGUGCCAGGAGGGACCGAUCCCUCUUUGGUUGCAACAAAGUGGCCCGAGUGAGGCGGGGUUGGCGUUGAGGGCUGCAGAGCUGGGCUGGGUCUUCCUCCAUGCACCACCAGCUGAGACUACCUUUGAGAGGCGCCAAUUUGCUGAACGAAUGAAUGAGUCACAUAAAAAAUGAGUGAAAGCUGGGAGAAGUCAAGAACCUUGAGCUGGGACACAGGUUUGACCCCCGGCCUGGCACAGUGGGUUAAGGAUCCAGUGCGACUCCAGGAAAUCCGUGUGCCCCUGGAAGGCCAAAAAAAAAAAAAAAAAAAAAAAAAANAAAAA